GACGAACGCUGGCGGCGUGCUUAACACAUGCAAGUCGAACGGAAAGACCCUGCUUUUGUGGGGUGCUCGAGUGGCGAACGGGUGAGUAACACGUGAGUAACCUGCCCUUGACUUUGGGAUAACUUCAGGAAACUGGGGCUAAUACCGGAUAGGAGCUCCUGCUGCAUGGUGGGGGUUGGAAAGUUUCGGCGGUUGGGGCUGGACUCGCGGCUUAUCAGCUUGUUGGUGGGGUAGUGGCUUACCAAGGCUUUGACGGGUAGCCGGCCUGAGAGGGUGACCGGCCACAUUGGGACUGAGAUACGGCCCAGACUCCUACGGGAGGCAGCAGUGGGGAAUAUUGCACAAUGGGCGGAAGCCUGAUGCAGCAACGCCGCGUGCGGGAUGACGGCCUUCGGGUUGUAAACCGCUUUCGCCUGUGACGAAGCGUGAGUGACGGUAAUGGGUAAAGAAGCACCGGCUAACUACGUG
This 468-nucleotide ribosomal RNA is filed under the name uncultured bacterium. RNAcentral describes it as "partial 16S ribosomal RNA". It matches the Rfam family "Bacterial small subunit ribosomal RNA", at positions 28 to 507 of the family's 1533-position model. The record is from RNAcentral.